Molecule: transfer RNA, 74 nt
Filed under: Streptomyces sp. CCM_MD2014
Lineage: Bacteria; Bacillati; Actinomycetota; Actinomycetes; Kitasatosporales; Streptomycetaceae
Description: tRNA-Phe
Source: RNAcentral
GCCCCGGUCACCCCGGCGCCGUUAACGGACUCCUAAAGCGGGUGUCGCAGGUUCGAAUCCUGCCGGGGGCACCA